This 489-nucleotide long non-coding RNA is filed under the name Phoenix dactylifera (date palm). Its description in RNAcentral is "long non-coding RNA (PDAC_LNC002584)". Lineage: Eukaryota; Viridiplantae; Streptophyta; Magnoliopsida; Arecales; Arecaceae. The record is from RNAcentral.
CAAUGGCAGGAUAUCGAAAUGCCAACAUACAACAUCCACUGGCAAAGUAUCGAAGUGCCAACGUAUAACCCCCACUAGCAUGGUAUCGAAGUGCCAACAUAUAACUUCUACUUGCAGAGUAUCGAAGUGCCAACGUACAAUCUCCACAAGCAUGGUAUCAAAAUAUAGUUUACCUGCGAGUCCAAAUCCAUUUCAAUUCAAAACUCCUUUUCUCAAAACAUGUUCAGUGUUCCAAAUUCUAAGAUGCGAUAUUGAAAUCAAUCAAAUAUAAUCCACAUCAAAAUCAAUAUGUUCAACCAAGAAUUAUAUAAUAUUCUAAAAAAAGGCAUAUAUAAUAAUAAAACAUCAUGCAUUAAAUUCAUAAAUCAAGAAAAAUUUGAUUCAUAAAAUAUUUAAAAUUUACCAAUAAAUAUCGAAAAAGGGUUACAUUACUUACCUUAUCAAUACAAUCCAAUUAACAAAUCCAAUUAAUCCUGAAAAUCCAUCUCA